RNAcentral lists this ribosomal RNA (1959 nucleotides) under human gut metagenome. Its description in RNAcentral is "bacterial LSU rRNA". It matches the Rfam family "Bacterial large subunit ribosomal RNA", at positions 1 to 1988 of the family's 2925-position model. The record is from RNAcentral.
UUAAGCGACUAAGCGUACACGGUGGAUGCCCUGGCAGUCAGAGGCGAUGAAGGACGUGCUAAUCUGCGAAAAGCGUCGGUAAGGUGAUAUGAACCGUUAUAACCGGCGAUGUCCGAAUGGGGAAACCCAGUGCAAUUCGUUGCACUAUCGUUAACUGAAUACAUAGGUUAACGAGGCGAACCGGGGGAACUGAAACAUCUAAGUACCCCGAGGAAAAGAAAUCAACCGAGAUUCCCCCAGUAGCGGCGAGCGAACGGGGAGCAGCCCAGAGUCUGAAUCAGCUUGUGUGUUAGUGGAACGGUCUGGAAAGUCCGACGGUACAGGGUGAUAGUCCCGUACACCAAAAUGCACAGGCUGUGAACUCGAAGAGUAGGGCGGGACACGUGGUAUCCUGUCUGAAUAUGGGGGGACCAUCCUCCAAGGCUAAAUACUCCUGACUGACCGAUAGUGAACCAGUACCGUGAGGGAAAGGCGAAAAGAACCCCGGCGAGGGGAGUGAAAAAGAACCUGAAACCGUGUACGUACAAGCAGUGGGAGCACCUUUAUGGUGUGACUGCGUACCUUUUGUAUAAUGGGUCAGCGACUUAUAUUCUGUAGCAAGGUUAACCGUAUAGGGGAGCCGCAGGGAAACCGAGUCUUAACUGGGCGUUAAGUUGCAGGGUAUAGACCCGAAACCCGGUGAUCUAGCCAUGGGCAGGUUGAAGGUUGGGUAACACUAACUGGAGGACCGAACCGACUAAUGUUGAAAAAUUAGCGGAUGACUUGUGGCUGGGGGUGAAAGGCCAAUCAAACCGGGAGAUAGCUGGUUCUCCCCGAAAGCUAUUUAGGUAGCGCCUCGUGAACUCAUCUUCGGGGGUAGAGCACUGUUUCGGCUAGGGGGUCAUCCCGACUUACCAACCCGAUGCAAACUACGAAUACCGAAGAAUGUUAUCACGGGAGACACACGGCGGGUGCUAACGUCCGUCGUGAAGAGGGAAACAACCCAGACCGCCAGCUAAGGUCCCAAAGUCAUGGUUAAGUGGGAAACGAUGUGGGAAGGCACAGACAGCCAGGAUGUUGGCUUAGAAGCAGCCAUCAUUUAAAGAAAGCGUAAUAGCUCACUGGUCGAGUCGGCCUGCGCGGAAGAUGUAACGGGGCUAAACCAUGCACCGAAGCUGCGGCAGCGACACUAUGUGUUGUUGGGUAGGGGAGCGUUCUGUAAGCCUGCGAAGGUGGCCUGUGAGGGUUGCUGGAGGUAUCAGAAGUGCGAAUGCUGACAUAAGUAACGAUAAAGCGGGUGAAAAGCCCGCUCGCCGGAAGACCAAGGGUUCCUGUCCAACGUUAAUCGGGGCAGGGUGAGUCGACCCCUAAGGCGAGGCCGAAAGGCGUAGUCGAUGGGAAACAGGUUAAUAUUCCUGUACUUGGUGUUACUGCGAAGGGGGGACGGAGAAGGCUAUGUUAGCCGGGCGACGGUUGUCCCGGUUUAAGCAUGUAGGCUGGUUAUCCAGGCAAAUCCGGAUAAUCAAGGCUGAGGUGUGAUGACGAGGCACUACGGUGCUGAAGUAACAAAUGCCCUGCUUCCAGGAAAAGCCUCUAAGCAUCAGGUAACAUCAAAUCGUACCCCAAACCGACACAGGUGGUCAGGUAGAGAAUACCAAGGCGCUUGAGAGAACUCGGGUGAAGGAACUAGGCAAAAUGGUGCCGUAACUUCGGGAGAAGGCACGCUGGUGUGUAGGUGAAGUCCCUGCGGAUGGAGCUGAGACCAGUCGAAGAUACCAGCUGGCUGCAACUGUUUAUUAAAAACACAGCACUGUGCAAACACGAAAGUGGACGUAUACGGUGUGACGCCUGCCCGGUGCCGGAAGGUUAAUUGAUGGGGUUAUCCGUAAGGAGAAGCUCUUGAUCGAAGCCCCGGUAAACGGCGGCCGUAACUAUAACGGUCCUAAGGUAGCGAAAUUCCUUGUCGGGUAAGUUCCGACC